RNAcentral lists this ribosomal RNA (468 nucleotides) under uncultured bacterium. RNAcentral's name for it is "partial 16S ribosomal RNA". It matches the Rfam family "Bacterial small subunit ribosomal RNA", at positions 28 to 507 of the family's 1533-position model. The record is from RNAcentral.
GACGAACGCUGGCGGCGUGCUUAACACAUGCAAGUCGAACGGAAAGGCCCGGUAUUUGUGGGGUGCUCGAGUGGCGAACGGGUGAGUAUCACGUGAGUAACCUGCCCUUGACUUCGGGAUACCUUCAGGAAACUGGGGCUAUUACCGGAUAUGAGCUCCUGCUGCACGGUGGGGGUGGGAAAAUUUCGGUGUUUUGGCAUGGAAACGCGGUUUAUCAGCUUGUUGGUGGGGUAGUGGCGUACCAAGGCUUUGACGGGUAGCCGGACUGGGAGUGUGACCGGCCACAAUGGCCCUGGGGUAGCGCCCGGACGCCUACGGGAGGCAGGAGUGGAGAUUAUUGCACACAGCGCGGCGGCAUGGUGCAGGGACGCCGCGUCCGGGAUCACGGUCUUCGGGUUGUAACCCGCUUUCGACUGUGACGAAGCGUGAGUGACGGUAAUGGGUAAAGAAGCACCGGCUAACUACGUG